Dromiciops gliroides (monito del monte) is the source of this 145-nucleotide small nucleolar RNA. The record is from RefSeq and is a predicted model, not a curated record. NCBI's taxonomy places the organism in Eukaryota, Metazoa, Chordata, Mammalia, Microbiotheria, Microbiotheriidae.
CUUCAGUGAUGACAAGAUGACGAGUCAGAAAGGACACAUCCUGCUCUGAGUCCCUUGGCACUGGCACGUUCUGUGUCACUGUACAUGGGGGCCUUUGCAAAAGUGUCUUGUCUUUGGUUGAUCUAGAGGCAUUUGUCUGAGAAGA